CCAUAAUGAAGCUGGACGUAUCCACCGGGGGAUUUUUCUGUAGUAUCAGAGUGGGCUGGUCUGGAGCGUCCAGGUGAAUGUCGUUCUGGUGACUGGACACUCGGACAAGAGCCAACUUUGGGAAGUGCCUCUGGGAGACGUAUUCUCCGUUUGGUCUCAUCAACAUCCAUUGUCUUUGAACAAUAAAAGGCUCGUGAAUUAAAAGAAAACACAUACAUUCCAAUAGAAGCCCGCCUCAGAUCUCCCAACAGAAGCCUGCCUCAGAUCUCCCAACAGAAGCCCGCCUCAGAUCUCCCAACAGAAGCCCGUCUCUGAUCUUCCAACAGAAGACUGCCUCACAGAAGCCCGCCUCAUAUCUUCCAACAGAAGUCUGCCUCAGAUUUCCCAACAGAAGCUCGCCUCAUAUCUUCCAACAGAAGCCUGCCUCAGAUCUCCCAACUGAAGCCCGCCUCUGAUCUUCCAACAGAAGCAAAUGGCAGCCUGGACUCUCUAUAGGCCUAAGCAAAUUCUGGAUUCCGUAUGCAGUGUCCUUAUAUUUGUGAACAGUAAUGUCAACUAUUCAUUUUAUUCUCUAACCAAAGUUAUAUACGGGCACUAAGUGUAGAUUACGUCAUGCGCCCUCUGGUGACAGGGCGCUAUUUCUGUCUGCUUUAGUGCACUUGUAAGUCACUGUGACAUUUCUCAAUGAGUCUUGUAAAAUUGUUAUAUAAUUGAUGCACUUACAGACUGACAUGACA
Long non-coding RNA from Ostrea edulis (European flat oyster), 737 nucleotides. RefSeq lists it as uncharacterized. The transcript is spliced from 2 exons. NCBI's taxonomy places the organism in Eukaryota, Metazoa, Mollusca, Bivalvia, Ostreida, Ostreidae. The record is from RefSeq and is a predicted model, not a curated record.